This 460-nucleotide ribosomal RNA is filed under the name uncultured bacterium. RNAcentral's name for it is "partial 16S ribosomal RNA". It matches the Rfam family "Bacterial small subunit ribosomal RNA", at positions 338 to 795 of the family's 1533-position model. The record is from RNAcentral.
CCUACGGGGUGCAGCAGUGAGGAAUAUUGGUCAAUGGACGAGAGUCUGAACCAGCCAAGUAGCGUGAAGGAUGACUGCCCUAUGGGUUGUAAACUUCUUUUAUAAAGGAAUAAAACGAGGCACGUGUGCCGUUUUGCAUGUACUUUAUGAAUAAGGAUGGGCUAACUCCGUGCCAGCAGCCGCGGUAAUACGGAGGAUCUGAGCGUUAUCCGGAUUUAUUGGGUUUAAAGGGAGCGUAGAGUGGUAGUUAAGUCAGUUGUGAAAGUUUGCGGCUCAACCGUAGAAGUGCAAUUGAUACUGUCAGUCUUGAGUACAGUUGAGGUAGGCGGAAUUCGUGGUGUAGCGGUGAAAUGCUUAGAUAUCACGAAGAAUCCCGAUUGCGAAGGCAGCUUACUAAACUGUGACUGACAUUGAUGCUCGAAAGUGUGGGUAUCAAACAGGAUUAGAUACCCCAGUAGUC